AGUCUGUUCAUUCUUUUGCCUCUUGAUAUUUGGUGCACAUAUGUAAGUUCUAAUCAUCUGAUGAGUACUGUGAUCUUUUGUCUUUGCAGGUAUGCUCUUACCAGCAAUUCGAACAUACGAGUUUUUUUCAAAUAUAGACGUUUACAUGCUGUGGGCUUGGAGAACAACUUAUUUGAGAUACUAUUAGAUUCUUUAUGCAAAGAGGGGCAUGUGAAGGUAGCUUCUGAGUAUUUUUAUAGACGAAAAGGACAAGACUCAAAUUGGUUGCCAUCUUUUCGGGCCUAUAAUAUAUUGUUAAAUGGAUGGUUUCGAUCAAGAAAGAUCAAGAAAGCUGAGCGGUUGUGGGCUGAGAUGAAAAAGGAGGGCAUAAAACCUAAUGUUGUAACUUAUGGUACCCUUGUCGAAGGAUUAUGCCGGAUGCGGAGAGUUGAGAUGGCAAUUGAAUUGGUUGGUGAGAUGAUAGAGGAAGGAAUUGAGCCCAAUGCAAUCGUCUACAAUCCAAUACUAGAUGCAUUAGGAGAAGCUGGGCGGUUCAAGGAAGAGCCCAAUGCAAUUGUCUACAAUCCAAUAAUAGAUGCAUUAGGAGAAGCUGGGCGGUUCAAGGAAGCAUCAGGAAUGAUGGAGAGGCUGUCGGUUUUGGAAUCUGAUCCAACUCUAUCAACUUACAAUUCACUGGUGAAAGAUUUUUGCAAGGCAGGAGAUCUUGUCGGGGCUAGUAAGAUUCUUAAGAUGAUGAUAAAUAGAGGUUUUAUGCCAACAACUUCUUAUAAUUACUUCUUUUGGUACUUCUCCAAGUUUGGUAAGAUUGAAGAAGGCUUAAACCACUAUACCAAGAUGAUUGAAUCUGGAUACGUGGCAGAUCGACUAACAUACCAUCUGCUGGUAAGGAUGCUAUGAGAGCAGGAUAGAUUGGAUCUGGCAAUGCAAAUUAUCCAAGAGAUGAGGGCAAAGGGUUUUGAUUUGGACUUGGCUACAAGUACCAUGCUUAUACAUUUAUUCUGCAAGAUGCAUCGAUUUGAUGAUGCUAUUGAGUGGUUUCAUGACAUGAUUCGGAGAGGCCUAGUUCCUCAAUAUCUUGCAUAUCAGAGAAUGUGCAAUGAUCUCAAAAAACAAGGAAUGACUGAAAAGGUACAGAAACUUAGAGACAUGAUGGUUUCUAAUGACAUGAUUCGGAGAGGACUAGUUCCUCAAUAUCUUGCAUAUCAGAGAAUGUGCAAUGAUCUCAAAAAACAAGGAAUGACUGAAAAGGUGCAGAAACUUAGAGACAUGAUGGUUUCUACACCCCGCUCUGAGAAGUU
Molecule: long non-coding RNA, 1298 nt
Filed under: Nicotiana benthamiana
Lineage: Eukaryota; Viridiplantae; Streptophyta; Magnoliopsida; Solanales; Solanaceae
Description: long non-coding RNA (NBEN_LNC036426)
Source: RNAcentral